RNAcentral lists this ribosomal RNA (376 nucleotides) under uncultured bacterium. Its description in RNAcentral is "bacterial SSU rRNA". It matches the Rfam family "Bacterial small subunit ribosomal RNA", at positions 524 to 898 of the family's 1533-position model. The record is from RNAcentral.
UACGUAGGGGGCGAGCGUUGUCCGGAAUUACUGGGCGUAAAGGGUGCGCAGGCGGCCGAUUAAGUUGGAUGUGAAAUACCCGGGCUUAACUUGGGGGGUGCAUUCAAAACUGGUUGGCUAGAGUGCAGGAGAGGGAAGCGGAAUUCCUAGUGUAGCGGUGAAAUGCGUAGAUAUUAGGAGGAACACCAGUGGCGAAGGCGGCUUUCUGGACUGUAACUGACGCUGAGGCACGAAAGCGUGGGGAGCAAACAGGAUUAGAUACCCUGGUAGUCCACGCUGUAAACGAUGAAUACUAGGUGUAGGGGGUAUGAACUCCCCCUGUGCCGGAGCAAACGCAAUAAGUAUUCCGCCUGGGGAGUACGGCCGCAAGGUUGAA